Molecule: long non-coding RNA, 1029 nt
Filed under: Homo sapiens (human)
Lineage: Eukaryota; Metazoa; Chordata; Mammalia; Primates; Hominidae
Description: HSALNT0367024
Source: RNAcentral
AGACAUCUGAGGGCUCCAGCUUUGUGAUUUUGGCACAUUUUUUCCCAUUUCUUUUGGUGAGAAAAAUGAAGCUCAGAGAGAUUAAGUGACCUGUGCAAGAUUGCCUAGCCAGUAAGGGUGGAUUCUACGCUGCUCAUGGUAAAUCUGGACUCUUCUCUGUGACAGUCUGCCAAACACCUGGUUAUGCAUCCUUCCUUGUCAUUCCUGAAGUGAAAAAUGAAGGCAAGAAAUGCUCCUGAAGUGAAGAAUCAGAAGACACUAAGGAUCAUGUGAAAGAGCUCCCUGAGGACAGAUUAAGAGGAGAUGAGUUAAAGCUGCAAAUACCAAGAUUUAAGAUGAAAUUAAGAAUGCUGAUCAGCUAAAGGACCUUCACAUACAAAGGUUAUCCUGGAUUAUUCAGGUGGGCUCAACGUAAUCACAAGGAUCCUUUAAAGUGGAAGAAUGAGGUCAGAGUGAUGUGAUGUGAAAAGCACUCAAUUUGCCUUUGCUAGUUUUGAAGAUGGAAGAAUGGGGCCAUGGUCCAAGGCAUGCUGGUGACCUCUAGAAGCUGAAAAAGUUAAGAAAAUGGAAAAGAAACUUCAGCGCAGUGAGGCCCAAUUUGGACUUCUGACUCCAGAACUGCAAGAUAAUACAUUUGUAUCCAUUAAGCCACUAAGUUUGUGCUAAUUUGCUAUGGCAGCAACAGGAGACUAAUACACCUUGGCAGCCCUAUUUGCAUCACCUUGCGGGUACUGGGGUUUGGAGGAAUUGGCUCAGAUGCUGAUACCGUGGCUACUACUAUUGUGGUGUCUUGGUCCAUUGUGCUGCUAUAAUAGAAUACAUGAGACUUGACAAUUUAAAAUGAACAGAUAUUUAUCGGCUCAGAGUUCUGGAGGCUGGGAAGUACAAUAUCAAGAUGCUGGCUGUUUGCGAGGGUCUUCUUGCUACAUCAUUUCAUGGCAGAAGAUUUGGAUGGCAAAUCGUCUUUCUGCAAUUGUUUUAUGGCUGCCAUUGCAAUUAAGAAAUGGAAAAUAAAUUUCUGAAAUCCAA